This 253-nucleotide ribosomal RNA is filed under the name uncultured bacterium. RNAcentral's name for it is "partial 16S ribosomal RNA". It matches the Rfam family "Bacterial small subunit ribosomal RNA", at positions 524 to 776 of the family's 1533-position model. The record is from RNAcentral.
UACAGGGGGUGCAAACGUUGCUCGGAAUCAUUGGGCGUAAAGCGCGCGUAGGCGGUUGCUUAAGUCGGAUGUGAAAGCCCUCGGCUUAACUGAGGAAGUGCAUCCGAAACUGAGCAGCUAGAGUACGAAAGAGGGUCGCGGAAUUCCCGGUGUAGAGGUGAAAUUCGUAGAUAUCGGGAGGAACACCGGUGGCGAAGGCGGCGACCUGGGUCGAGACUGACGCUGAGGCGCGAAAGCGUGGGGAGCAAACAGG